Molecule: ribosomal RNA, 278 nt
Filed under: uncultured bacterium
Lineage: Bacteria
Description: partial 16S ribosomal RNA
Rfam family: Bacterial small subunit ribosomal RNA
Source: RNAcentral
UCCGUCCUACGGGACGCAGCAGUGAGGAAUAUUGGUCAAUGGGCGCGAGCCUGAACCAGCCUAGCAGCGUGAAGGAUGACUGCCCUACGGGUUGUAAACUUCUUUUAUGAAGGAAUAAAGUGAGGCACGUGUGCCUUUUUGUAUGUACUUUAUGAAUAAGGAUCGGCUAACUCCGUGCCAGCAGCCGCGGUAAUACGGAGGAUCCGAGCGUUAUCCGGAUUUUUUGGGUUUAAAGGGCGCGUAGAUGGGGUGUUAAGUCAGUUGUGAUAGUUUGCGGC